UUGGGUUUAAAGGGUCCGUAGGCGGGUCUUUAAGUCAGUGGUGAAAGCCUGCAGCUUAACUGUAGAAUUGCCAUUGAUACUGAAGACCUUGAGUGUAGUAGAAGUAGGCGGAAUAUGGCAUGUAGCGGUGAAAUGCAUAGAUAUGCCAUAGAACACCGAUUGCGAAGGCAGCUUACUAUGUUACAACUGACGCUGAGGGACGAAAGCGUGGGUAGCAAACAGGAUUAGAUACCCUGGUAGUCCACGCCGUAAACGAUGAUUACUCGCUGUUAGCGAUAUACAGUUAGCGGCCAAGCGAAAGCAUUAAGUAAUCCACCUGGGGAGUACGACCGCAAGGUUAAAACUCAAAUGAAUUGACGGGGGCCCGCACAAGUGGUGGAGCAUGUGGUUUAAUUCGAUGCAACGCGAAGAACCUUACCUACUCUUGACAUACUAGAAACUUUUCAGAGAUGAAUUGGUGCCUUCGGGAAUCUAGAUACAGGUGCUGCAUGGCU
This 494-nucleotide ribosomal RNA is filed under the name uncultured bacterium. RNAcentral describes it as "bacterial SSU rRNA". It matches the Rfam family "Bacterial small subunit ribosomal RNA", at positions 554 to 1050 of the family's 1533-position model. The record is from RNAcentral.